ACGGAGCAGCAAUGCUUAGUGGCGACCGGGUGAGUAACACGUAGCUAACCUACCCCUCGGCGGGGGAUAACAGUUCGAAAGAGCUGCUAAUACCGCAUGAUUUUGCGUUGAAGAGAUAGACGCAAAUAAACUUCAGGGGUCGAGGGAGGGGGCUGCGGCCCAUCAGGUAGUUGGUGAGGUAACGGCUCACCAAGCCGACGACGGGUAGGGGGCCUGAGAGGGUGAACCCCCACACUGGAACAGACAUACGGUCCAGACUCCUACGGGAGGCAGCAGUAAGGGAUAUUGCGCAAUGGGCGAAAGCCUGACGCAGCAACGCCGCGUGGAGGACGAAGGCCUUCGGGUCGUAAACUCCUUUUCACGAGGACGAGGAAGGACGGUACUCGUGGAAUAAGCCUCGGCUAACUACGUGCCAGCAGCCGCGGUAAUACGUAGGAGGCGAGCGUUAUCCGGAUUUACUGGGCUUAAAGGGUGUGCAGGCGGGUAUUUAA
RNAcentral lists this ribosomal RNA (491 nucleotides) under uncultured bacterium. Its description in RNAcentral is "bacterial SSU rRNA". It matches the Rfam family "Bacterial small subunit ribosomal RNA", at positions 66 to 586 of the family's 1533-position model. The record is from RNAcentral.